CCGUGCUUCGGCAGGCAGCCCUGUGGGACAGAGCCUCGCCCCCCUCGGGGGGUGCCUGCCGCUGGCCAACCAUACAUUCCAGUCAUUUGAGUACCAUCUGAGUCUUCCACAAAUGAACAAAACUUUCAACAACGGAUCUCUUGGUUCUGGCAUCGAUGAAGAACGCAGCGAAAUGCGAUAAGUAAUGUGAAUUGCAGAAUUCAGUGAAUCAUCGAAUCUUUGAACGCACAUUGCGCCCACUAGUAUUCUGGUGGGCAUGCCUGUUCGAGCGUCAUUUCAACCCUCAAGCCUGGCUUGGUGUUGGGGCUCUGCGCACCGCAGUCCCUUAAAUUCAGUGGCGGACACGCUAGGUCUCCGAGCGCAGUAGUUUCUUCUCGCUUCGGGCGUCCGGCGUGGGCUGGCCUCGCACCCAACUUCUCAAGGUUGACCUCGGAUCAGGUAGGAAUACCCGCUGAACUUAAGCAUAUCAAUAA
Molecule: ribosomal RNA, 473 nt
Filed under: fungal sp. CZ-2011m
Lineage: Eukaryota; Fungi
Description: eukaryotic LSU rRNA
Rfam family: 5.8S ribosomal RNA (bases 121-274)
Source: RNAcentral